Molecule: ribosomal RNA, 327 nt
Filed under: Triticum aestivum (bread wheat)
Lineage: Eukaryota; Viridiplantae; Streptophyta; Magnoliopsida; Poales; Poaceae
Description: partial small subunit ribosomal RNA
Source: RNAcentral
AUGAUCUUGCUUCAUUUAAGGUACAAAACACAUCUCCAAGAUUACCACCUCUCCAUUGUUUAUCCUUUGAUCACGAUGACACCCCUGAUUAAGCAUGCAUUUGUUUGUUGUUCACAGCAUGGAAAGAACAAAAAUGAUGUGGCAAGCUCCGUGGAAUGUUACAUCAGUGAGCACGGCGUGGCAAGUGAGGAUGCCAUUGCCAAGACAGGGUCUCUGAUCGAAGAUGCAUGGAAGACUACGAACCAAGCACGCUUUGAGCUCCCUGAGCUGCUGCUUCCGGCGGUGCAGCGGGUCGCAAAUAUAACGAUCAACAUACCUUUCAUGUAA